Molecule: ribosomal RNA, 460 nt
Filed under: uncultured bacterium
Lineage: Bacteria
Description: partial 16S ribosomal RNA
Rfam family: Bacterial small subunit ribosomal RNA
Source: RNAcentral
CCUACGGGCGGCAGCAGUGAGGAAUAUUGGUCAAUGGGCUUACGCCUGAACCAGCCAAGUCGCGUGAGGGAAGACUGCCCUAUGGGUUGUAAACCUCUUUUGUCAGGGAGCAACGCCGGCUACUUGUAGCCGGACUAAGAUUACCUGAAGAAAAACCACCGCCUAACUCCGUGCCAGCAGCCGCGGUAAUACGGAGGAUGCGAGCGUUAUCCGGAUUUAUUGGGUUUAAAGGGUGCGUAGGCGGAAUGCCAAGUCAGCGGUAAAAGCGCGGGGCUCAACCCCGCUCAGCCGUUGAACCUGGCGUUCUUGAGUGGGAGAGAAGUAGGCGGAAUGCGUGGUGUAGCGGUGAAAUGCAGAGAUAUCGCGCAGAACCCCGAUUGCGAAGGCAGCAUACCGGCGCCCAACUGACGCUGAAGCACGAAAGCGUGGGUAUCGAACAGGAUUAGAUACCCGAGUAGUC